Molecule: long non-coding RNA, 932 nt
Organism: Mastomys coucha (southern multimammate mouse)
Lineage: Eukaryota; Metazoa; Chordata; Mammalia; Rodentia; Muridae
Exons: 5
Source: RefSeq, a predicted model, not a curated record
UUAACCCCAAGGUGGGCAAUAUCAGGUGGCACCACCGUCAUCUUCCUUUGUGGGUUACAUUUGAGUGGCUUGCCUAAGGGCUAGAUAAUAGUGAAUCUCAGGCAGACUAGAGGAAGACAGCCCAGUUUGCUCCACAGAGGAGAAUUUUGUUGAUAAAAAGAUAGGGAAGUCCUUGAGAUUCUCUUGUUGUACUUAAUUGUAAAUGCAUUGGCUUGUUGAACAAUUCUAAUUGUGAAAUAGAAGAGAGCUAUUUAACCCAGAAGAUACCGACUUCAUCUCUGUCCUUCCACAGAACAAUGCCAAGCAUUUCUAUUCGGCAGGAGAAAAGCUGGAAGCCCUCUCUGUGUUCAUUGUUGAAAGCAAUUGAUUCAGCCUUGAGAAGGCAAGCUGACUGCUGAAGCUGGUCUGAGCAAUGACUCACCUUGGAAUCAGCUCUCUCAGAUGGAAAAACCAAUAUCCCUCGAGUGAGCCACGUAUGGGUGGCAACAAGAGCAGAAAGAAUGGCUCACACUAAUGGGGCUGGCUAACAAAAGUGAUGUGGGAUUUCUUUCCUUUCACAUUCUCGGCCUAAAAGCCCAGUCAACAAUAAAAUCCAGUAUUUUGCAGGCCGACAGUAAUCAUCUUGUCUAAUGUGAGUAUGCAGAUGGCCAGGUGAAUUUAAGCCCAGGAGGGUGUUGGGGUCCGCUUUACCCUGGGGACCCAGGAUCAGUGCUUUGGGUCAGCCAUGAAGAAGAAAUCACCAGUAGCAGUUUCAGGACAACAAGACUUAAACUGAAGUUCUUGAUCCAUUUGGAAUUUGGUUUUGUGCACAGUGAGAGUUAAUGACCUCCUUUCAUUUUUCUGCCUGUUGAAAUCUGGAGUUCCUGGUACCAUUUGUUUGAGACAUUCUUCUCCAAGUACAUUUCUGAUGUCAUUAAAAAAAAAAACAGGGA